Molecule: long non-coding RNA, 2187 nt
Filed under: Brassica napus (rape)
Lineage: Eukaryota; Viridiplantae; Streptophyta; Magnoliopsida; Brassicales; Brassicaceae
Description: long non-coding RNA (BNAP_LNC003937)
Source: RNAcentral
AAGUUGAAUAAAUCUCAUAGGAGUUGGGAUGAAGAAGUUAUCCCAUUUUCAAAUCAGGUGAUUCCAGUUUCCCAGUUUGGGAAUAGCACAACUUCUUCGUCGUUCCAAUCAAACAAGGAUGAAUCACUUUGUGAGAAGAUUUAUUUGGAUACAUAAAGUGGUGGAGAAUCACCAGGAAUUUGAAUAAAUCUCAUAGGAGUUGGGAUGAAGAAGUUAUCCCACUUUCAAAUCAGGUGAUUCGAGUUUCCCAGUUUGGGAAUAGCACAGCUUCUUCGUCGUUCCAAUCAAACCAGGAUGAAUAACUUUGUGAGAAGCUUGAUUUGGAUACAUAAAGUGGUGGAGAAUCACCAGGAAGUUGAAUAAAUCUCAUAGGAGUAGGGAUGAAGAAGUUAUCACACUUUCAAAUCAGGUGAUUCCAGUUUCCCAGUUUGGGAAUAGCACAGCUUCUUCGUCGUUCCAAUCAAACCAGGAUGAAUCACUUUGUGAGAAGCUUGUCGUACGACGAGGGAGGUGAAGAGUACCUCUUCAAGAUCGUCAUCAUCGGAGACUCCGCCGUCGGCAAGUCCAAUCUCCUCACCCGCUGAAUCCAAGGCUCAACUUCUUCUUCUCCGUCGUCUUCUAUCGAUGGACUGAAUUUCCAAAACCAUGGCAAAAAGAAAAAAGAACUAUAAGGCAACUUGACUUCAGAGCCAUGUGUAUCACGAGACUUCAGAGCCAUGUGUGGAAGCUAAAGGUCCCGAGCAAGAUGAAACAUUUCUUGUGGCAGGCUAUCUCGGGCUGCGUGGCGACGGCAGAGAGGCUCAUGUAUAGACACCUGGGCACCGAUAGGAGUUGUCCUAGAUGUGCUGGCCCAGUGGAGUCGAUUAAUCAUCUUCUUUUUGAAUGCCCACCAGCUCUUCAGGUUUGGGCUUUAUCGGACUAUCCGUCCACUCCGGGUUAUUUCCCGAGUACAUCCAUAUAUCAAAACAUGAACUUCCUUUUUGGAAGAGAAAAUAGGUGGCUCCUCUGAGACCACAAUUCGAUACCUUCCCAUGGAUCUGUUAGUACAUUUGGAAGCCGAGGAACGACAAACUCUUCAAUGGGAAAGACGUAUCCCCAUUGACACCCUCCAACAUGCGUCUCUUGAGGUGGAAUGUUGGAGGAAGGCUAACGAAAAGGAGGAAGCAAAGGAGGAUCAUGAUGAUCCCCCUACUACAGAGAUUGAGACAGUGCCCCCUUGGAUACCUCGAAUCCCUACUUGUCAAAUUGAUGCAUCAUGGAUCAAUAAUGGCAGUGUCAGUGGCUUAGGAUGGAGUCUUAAGGAUCAAAUGGGCUUAGAAUACUUCGGAUUACGGGCGUGUAACAUGAGCCUCUCAGCUUUGCAUGUUGAAUCAGGUGAUUCCUGUUUCCCCGUUUGAAAAUAGCACAAAUUCUCCGUCGUUCCAACCAAACCAGGAUGAAUAUCUUUGUAAGAAUCUUGAUUUGGAUACAUAAAGUGGUGGAGAAUCACCAGGAAGUUUAAUAAAUCUCAUAGGAGUUGGGAUGAAGAAUUUAUCCCACUUUCAAAUCAGGUGAUUCCAGUUUCCCAGUUUGGGAAUAGCACAGCUUCUUCGUCGUUCCAAUCAAACCAGGAUGAAUCACUUUGUAAGAAGCCUGAUUUGGAUACAUAAAGUUGUGGAGAAUCACCAGGAAGUUGAAUAAAUCUCAUAGGAGUUGGCAAGAAGAAAUUAUCCCACUUUCAAAUCAGGUGAUUCCAGUUUCCCAGUUUGGGAAUAGCACAGCUUCUUCGUCGUUCCAAUCAAACCAGGAUGAAUCACUUUGUAAGAAGCUUGAUUUGGAUACAUAAAGUGGAGGAGAAUCACGAGGAAGUUGAAUAAAUCUCAUAGGAGUUGGCAUGAAGAAGUUAUCCCACUUUCAAAUCAGGUGAUUCCAGUUUCCCAGUUUGGGAAUAGCACAGCUUCUUCGUUGUUCCAAUCAAACCAGGAUGAAUCACUUUGUGAGAAGCUUGACUUGGAUACAUAAAGUGGUGGAGAAUCACCAGGAAGUUGAAUAAAUCUCAUAGGAGUUGGCAUGAAGAAGUUAUCCCACUUUCAAAUCAGGUGAUUCCAGUUUCCCAGUUUGGGAAUAGAACAGCUUCUUCGUCGUUCCAAUCAAACCAGGAUGAAUCUCUUUGUAAGAAGCUUGAUUUGGAUACAUAAAGUGGUGGAG